RNAcentral lists this transfer RNA (42 nucleotides) under Apodemus agrarius (Eurasian field mouse). RNAcentral describes it as "partial transfer RNA-Pro". Lineage: Eukaryota; Metazoa; Chordata; Mammalia; Rodentia; Muridae. The record is from RNAcentral.
UCAGCGCACCCAAAGCUGAUAUUCUACUUAAACUACUUCUUG